RNAcentral lists this unclassified non-coding RNA (244 nucleotides) under plant metagenome. Its description in RNAcentral is "partial contains small subunit ribosomal RNA, internal transcribed spacer 1, and 5.8S ribosomal RNA". The record is from RNAcentral.
UCUCCGUUGGUGAACCAGCGGAGGGAUCAUUACCGAGUUUACAACUCCCAAACCCAAUGUGAACCAUACCAAACUGUUGCCUCGGCGGGGUCACGCCCCGCGUGCGUCGCAGCCCCGGAACCAGGCGCCCGCCGGAGGGACCAACCAAACUCUUUCUGUAGUCCCCUCGCGGACGUUAUUUUUACAGCUCUGAGCAAAAAUUCAAAAUGAAUCAAAACUUUCAACAACGGAUCUCUUGGUUCUG